GGCGCAUUCGUCUAGUGGUCCAGGACGCAGCCCUCUCAAGGCUGAGAUCACGGGUUCAAAUCCCGUAUGCGCUA
RNAcentral lists this transfer RNA (74 nucleotides) under Bacteroidota bacterium. RNAcentral's name for it is "Bacteroidetes bacterium tRNA-Glu". It matches the Rfam family "tRNA". From Rfam's summary of the family: Transfer RNA (tRNA) molecules are approximately 80 nucleotides in length. Their secondary structure includes four short double-helical elements and three loops (D, anti-codon, and T loops). RNAcentral also lists the same sequence under 1 other name. The record is from RNAcentral. Lineage: Bacteria; Pseudomonadati; Bacteroidota.